Long non-coding RNA from Phyllostomus discolor (pale spear-nosed bat), 9822 nucleotides. RefSeq lists it as uncharacterized. The transcript is spliced from 6 exons. The record is from RefSeq and is a predicted model, not a curated record. Lineage: Eukaryota; Metazoa; Chordata; Mammalia; Chiroptera; Phyllostomidae.
ACAGCAGUUUUCAUCCCAGCUGUAGUGACCCCCAGCCCCCCCAACUUUAGUAAACGACUCAAGUUCCAUGAGGACUUUCACUUCUUUAUUUAUCAUCGCAGAAGUGAGGUGUUACUUCACAUACAUACACACACAAAGAAUGAAAUAAAGAAAUGAAACUCGCUAAGCAGACAAAAAACAGACACUUUCUGCUUAGAAAACAGCCUUCUCCGGUGGGAGAGGAGGAUGGACUGCCAUAUCUAAGAGAAAGACUUGCCCCGAAUUUGACACUCCUUCUCACUUCGGACUCACAUUCUCACUUGAAAAGAGAAAAAGAAUAAAAGGAGGGGGGGGGUGAUCCUACCAAAAAGGAAUAAAAAGAAAAGGGGAAAAAAAACCUACCUGAGAAGUCUUGUUUGUAGUUUUGGCCAGAAAUGGUGAGAAGAAAAAGCAUGAAGAAGCCGCGAAGUGUGGGGGAGAAAAAGGUGGAAGCGAAGAAACAGCUCCCGGAGCAAACUGUACAAAACCUCGCCAAGAGUGUCGGGAGGCAGGACCGUUAUUCCUGCGGAGCAGGAGAGAGAGAGACCCUGAAACACGCGCCACCUAUCUUUGUGGGGAGGGAUAAUUGAAGCGCCCUGAGCGUGAGCAUCAUGUGAAAACGUGAUCGCCAAGUUUCUCUCUGGGAAAGGAUCUGGGAUAGAUUAUACCUUGAAGUCUCCGCAAAGGCUUUAGUGGAAGAAAUGAAAUUCCACCUCCCUCCCUUCCUCUCUCCCUCCCUCUCGCCUUCCUCCCUCCCCUCUCCACGCCCCCCCCACCCUGCUCCCCCCUCCCCCAGUCAAGCCUUUGGCAUCAUUAUCCUCAUCACUAAAUCCUACAGCGUACUGGGCGGAAAACGGUGCACACCAUUCACAGAACUGGAGAACUCCAAGGGGCGAAAGUUAAAGGGAAAGAUCCCGGGUCCUCAAUUCAGAUUGCCUCUUCAUAUACAGAUAUCUCUAAUGACCAGAUUUGAGAUGCACAUUAAGUUGUGUGGAUUUCUCAGCACAGCUUCUGGAACUAAAUUCUUUGCCCUUUCUCUCUCUUUCUUCUUUGUAGAAGCCAGAACCAGGAAAAAAGAAUGCUGCCUGUGAACUGCAUCUUAGGGUGCAUGUGUUGUUGUUGUGUGUGUGAUGAAUUUCUGGAUUACAUCCUCAAACUAAAAAGUAGCUUGGAAUUUUUUAAAUGGAGUUUCUAAGUAAAUUAACAGAGAGCGCUGGGUUGACCAUAUCUGAAUCCCUCUACAUCUCAAGGAGACCUUACUACAAAGUGAGGGAGUGUGUGUGGUGAGGCAGGAGGAAAAGGAGAAAGGCCAUAGAGGAACUUAGCAGGGAAGGAAGAGCAUAAUAUUAAACAGCAUGGGGUCUAAGUUUGGGAGUAUAUAUAUUUUUGAUAUUGCAAUUAAAGUAAAAUUAAAAAGAAAAGACUCCACCUUUGCUCUGAAGGGAUUGGUUAUGUAAAUAUGGAAGGGAUUUCCUGGAGAAUACAGCUUUCUACUGUAUGGUUAAUUAAAUAAUCACUCAAAAGCUUCCAAUGUGACGCUUCUGUCGUAAUCCAAUCAGGUUACAUAGGUCCUAAACAAGAAAGAUAUUUUCCACAUCUGGAAGUCAGCAAUUUAGCAAGUACUGCACAUUAUUAACCAAUUCAGAGCCCACUUCCCAAGGGAAUUUUUUUUUUUUGAAGUUUAAGUGUUCUUAACCAAUGCUCUGCUGUUUUGUUAAUCAAAAAGCUGGUUUACACUGCACAUAAUUGGAACUAAUAUAGAAGUAAAUAAAGACAGCCAAAUUUGAGGAUGCUGAGCACAGGCAUUUAUCGGAAAAGGAAGAAAUCUCUUAGCCUCCAAUGGUUCAGGCUCAAUUUCUUAAAGAAUUGUGAGGCUUUUUUUUUUUUUUUUUAAAGAGUGAAAGUGCUUGCGGAUCUCAGAGUACAAAUAAACUUUCAGUCCCACAACCUUAGGGCUUCUUUGCAAAGGUAAAUCUAGAGGUGUCAAGAGGACGAAAGAAUAGCCUCAUGCCAUUUUUUCUGCUUUAAUAUUGUUAAUAUGUUACACCCCUGUUUUCAGUCUGAUGAAAUCUGAAACAAAUAAUACCCUGAACCAACACUAGACUUUUACUUAUAUUAAGAUAAACUGCUCUGAACUGUGCUUUGAAUGUGUGCCUAAAACAAGACUUUGAAUGUAAGAGUCACUUGGCAAUUGCACUCAGAGGAGGAAAAAGCCACCACAUGGGUUGCCACAUCCACACUCCCAGAGGUGCAUGUCUUUGUAUUUUAUAUGUUUAUUUUUUGGGGGAAGGGAAUAGCCACCAGCAUGAGUACAGCCAAUUCUUACUUUAGGAUGCAAGAAAGUCAGUUCUCAUAGUUGGUUACAGACUCACUCUUUCCUAAGUUGAGUAUUUAUUACAAUGAGAAUAGCUGGGCAAAUCAAUCCUCUGCCCACCUCAUUACAGAUAAAUUACCUAUAGAAGAGGACCAGUGAAGUUUGUCAGUCUAAAAACUAGUAAUAAGAAAGAAAUUAAAGAUUUCCAACAUGAGUCAGGCACAUUCUCAAUUUUGUUUAACAUUUUUUAAAAAUGAUAUUUAUAAGCCAUAUAUACAUAUAUGACUUAUCAAGUCCCUGUUCUGAAAUUUACCUCUAUUAUUAAUAUCUUGUUUCUUUAUCUUACCACCCCCUCCCUUUAAAAAAAAUAAGAACUGGAAUUCAGCUUUCUUUAGAAGUUUGAUUUCCAGUCUUCCCUCUCCAAUUCCGGGGGAAGCAGGAGCCCAUUGCAUGGAGUGCUCAGGGCAGGACGCCACCCUAGGAGCCCAGGUAGCCACUGGAGACUCACCCAGACACACACACUCCACAGUAAAACUUCAGGUCUAAGAAUCCAAUCGAACGCCUACCAUAUCUUGUCUUUAUUAUGUACAGUAUAUUAAUGUCAGGCUACCUAGGCUCUGACUUACAAAAAAAGACUCAAGUAUUUCCACUAAAAACACCUAAUCAUUUGAUUAUUCUGGGCUCAGUAAUUAUUCAAGUGGCAGCAGGCAGCCCCAACACUUAGCACUGGGAGUUCCGACAUGCAAGUAUUUAACCAGGGGUAAAACAGUAAUCUCUGGGGUUCCCAUCAAGGUGGAUAUUUGGAUGAUGGCUCAGGAAGUGUCCCCAGGAGGGGUGAGUACGCCGUUAGGUUGCUCGCCCCCCCCCCACCCAUGCUUGGCACGCCUCUGGCACUUCCCUCCCUAUUUGACCUACAGAAUUCCCCCCAACGCAGAGGCGGUGGGAUCGGAGAAAGCCGGAAUACACAUUUGUCCCGAACGCUCCCUUAGUCCGAAGGCCAGUGGGGACAAUGGGGAUAGUGGAGUCUGCGAGAUGCAGGAGCGCGGGACGCAGGGAAAAGUCGAAAGAGGGCUGGGGGCUGCCAGCUUUCCUCUCCUCACACAGCAAAAUAAGUCCUGCAAAUGAGUAGCUUCUUCCUCGUCUUUCUUUUCCAUUAAUAAUCCAUUCCGAGAUUAGCAGAGACCAAGGGGAUUAAAACAACAGAUAUAUGCAAAUGUGAAAUAAUAUUGCAAUCGACAUGGAGGGAGAAAAAUAAUUCUUUAGGAUUUCUUUGAGUAAAAUAAACUGCCUCCUCAGGAUUCCCUCCAGCCAGGCAGGGUGAGAAGAUGCACUUUUGUUUUCCUGUUCCCUCCAGCCAGGACCUGGUGCCUGUCCCCCCAUUCACCUCUCAGUCUGUCAGUUUCCUAAACUUUCACAGCCGCUACCCACCUCACCCUUGCCCCCAGCUCGGCUCCUGGGCCCAGAUGCCAGAAGAGAUACAAUGUUUCUGCCCUUGAACACACAGGCUGUAGAAGUAACUCGAAUUUGGCCACAGCUCUUUUUUUUUUUUUUUUUUAAGCAAAUUCUGUUUAUUUUGUACAAUGUGGAGAAAAUUUUUUGAAAAGGAAUUUAUUCUCGUUUUGAAACAGAAUUGAUCUUUCAUCCGUAGGAAUUAUUUUGACCCCAUGUUGUUACGCAGGAGAUGAGCAACUUCUUAGUUGCAAGCAAAGGGUGAUAAGGGGUCCCCUGGAUUGGGAGUGGUGGAGGGGUUUGGGGGCGGCAGGGGUCCAAGCCAAGCCAAACGGUUUUUCUCACGUGCAAACUCGCAAUCCAAUCCAUUCGGAGUUAAGCCUAGCAUGGGGCGGUGGGGGUGGGGGUGGGGGUGUUGAGGGGGGGAUCAGGAGCAUCUCUCUGAGAAGCCCUUUCAAACAAAAUCAAAACAGGACCGGACAACCUCAGACCGUCCCUAACAUCCCUGCUGCGAGGCCGCGGGCUGUGGAAUCUCGCACGUCACCUGGCCCCAGCAGGGCAGCCAGCUGAAGUGUUCAUUUAAUUUAAUUUAAUUUAAUUUUAUUUUAAUUUUUUCAAGUUAAGGCUGACUCUCGGCUUCAGUGCUUUUGCCAGCCAACGUCUCCUCCACUGACAGGAACCAGCAAACUUCAAGACUCAAAUAGGCGUCUUAAUUUAUGGACGCAAAACAGGUCUGCUUGUGGCCCCAAAUGCUCCGCGCGCUCAGUCCCCCGCGCCCCCAGCUUCGGUCCCUCCAUUUGAUCUCUGGAAAGCUUCACAUGUGAGAUAAAUGCACUCAAAGACUCCUCACAAGUAGCUCUUUGGAGCUUCAGAUGUGAAAUGGAUCAUUCCUCAAUCUGUAAUAGACCCUUCUGUGAAGCUCUUCAAUCAAACCUGAGAAUUCAAGGCGUUUUGUAGCAUCCUAAACAGAAGGAUAUUGAAGGGAGCUGAUUCUGCUUUGAUCCUUGUGCUUGUUGUCAAAGCGCUUGGGAUUGAAGAGACUGUUGGCUACAAUUGACUGUGACAAUUAGGAGAUGAUCAGAGCCCUAGAGUGGAGCACUUAAAGGGUUUGCAUUUAAAACACUCUUGGAGCACUAAUGGAUUAAAAUUCUGAUAACUGCACAUUUUCUUUUUAGAGAGGUAAUGAAUGAAUGAAUGAAAAGGCAGGGAUUAUUUGCCAUUCUAAGCGGGAACUGUCAGAAGAUUUCUACUUGAAGGAAAUUGUUUUGGAAGGUGAGCUGGAACAAGACUCUUGCAACUCAAGCAAAGUGACUCUGCCUGUGGUUUUUCGAUGUUUCUCUUCAUUGAAGAAUUCUGAAGAACUGUUCUUGGAUUUAGAAGUUGAUUUACAUUUUAUUUAUUGGAGAUUAUGUAGGUGAAUCAUAUGAAAACAUUUAAAACUAUGUGUAUUUGACUGUUAAUGAGUACAUCAGGGUCUUUUGCAAGCUCAGUUGAAAUGAUUUGAAAUGAGUUUUUCUAUUUACCAUCACAGUGUUUUUACAAUGUAUAAAUUGCCAUAUUGUGACAAAAUAAAUUAUUGAAAUACUUUGAAAAGUUUUUAGAAAUAUGCCUAAGAAAACAAUAUGUAAAUUCUUAGUUAAUUCACACGUUAAUUUAUUGAAAUAUUGCUGCUACUGAAAAGUUCUAGAGCCUUUAACACAACAUUCCAGAACAUUUGCUGUCUUGUUUUAAUAAGCUGCUUUCUUUGUAUACCUGUCUGGUGGCAGCACAAAAGUUGCCAGAUUUAGCAAGUAAAAAUCAAGAAUUUCUAGUUAAAUUUGAGUUUCUGAUAAAUAGUGAAUACUUUUUUUAGUAUAAGUAUGUCCCAUGCAGUGCUUGCAUUUUAUCUUGGAAACCUAGGUGAUACUCUGAUAUUGCAAUGACACAUUGAAUGGAUGGGUUAGUAAUUUAUAAAUUAUAAAUUAUCAUUUAUAGAUCAGUUUCCAUUCACUGUCAUAUUAGGUAGGCCAGCCAGCAUGCUGCUUUCAGAUAGAAACCAAAGGCUUUUAACUUAUUAUUGCUGAGUUUAACUUUCCCCAUAAUGUUCCCGGGGCAAGCUGUGAGUUGUCAUUUCGAGUAUAAUAAUUCCUGUCUGGCUAAUGCAAUUGAGACUUCGGAGAAGGUGGCCGAGGGGGUCUAGCCUACCUACGUUGACCAGGCUCUGACAGAGGUGUUUGGCGGUUACAGAGAAAGAGAAGUGAGUGAUGCAAUGACAAUAUAUUAGCUUUGUGAAGCCACAUCUUUCCUUUCAGGGUGGUGUUGUGACUACAUAGGUAAUAAGUUCGAAACCCUUAUAAUUCUGAUUUUGGUAGGGCCUUCUGGGAAAGGAAAGAUUCUAUGUCCUUGCAUAUUUCAUUUUAUUUUAUUAUAUUUUAUUUUAUUCUGUUUACAAUAAUCUAGUUGACAUGAAAGAAGCUGAGCUAAAACUUAAAGAAAAUCAGAUUUCUCUUUGAAGACAGUUUCAGUUCAGGCUGCUGGAACAAAGUACUAUAAACUGUGCAGUUUAUAAACAACAGACAUUUCUCAUCAUUCUGGAGGCCGGAAGUCUGAGAUCAGAGCGCCAGUAUGGUCAGAUUUUGGUGAGGGCCCCCUUCCAGGUUUGCAGAUGGUGUCUUCUUCCUGUGUUCUCACACAGUGGAGAGCAGAGCACUCUGGUCCAUUUCGCUCCUUAUAAGGGCACUAAUCUCAUUCAUAAGGGCUCCACACUUGUGACCUAAUCAUGUCCCAAAGGCUCACCUCCUAAUAUCAUCAAACUUGGUAUUGCGACUCCAACAUAUGAGUUUUUGAGUGACAUAAACAUUCAGUCCAUGACAAUUUCUCACUGUCCUUAAUUUUUUCCUCAGCAUUUGUCAGAUGCUGUCAAUGAGGACUCUCUGCAGCACAACAAUUUGAAAACCCUGUUUCCCGUCCCCUAAGCUCCAUUUUAAUUUCAUCCACAGCUUCAAGGAGUGGACAGUUCCUGGGAAGCCCAGGACUCUGGAACACUUUUUGAGUCUUCUAAUUUCUGCCUUAGACCCUUUUCCAGAACUGUAGAAGCCCGCUCAAUAUGCUUCCUGAAGCUUGUUGUAGAAAUGUGGGGGAGUUGACAUCCUCGGGGGCAGCCUGAUAGGAGACAGGAGCCUGUGGAUAAAUGUUCCAGCCACGUAUCUUUUAGAUGGGCAUUUCUGAGAAGCACUUGGCAUGCUGCUCAGAGGGCUCAUCUUCAACAACAGGGAUCUUAUGUACCCUUAUGGCACAUUAUGUGGGUUGGCCCCAAUCCUGCCUGCCUCGUUGUUUCCAUCCUCUGCCACCUAUUUCUAGGGAUAACCAACAUGCAUUGAAUUCCUUGUUUCAGGCCCUGUGUUCAGGGACACCCCAGCGAGGAUGCUCCUGAUGGUCUUUUGCUCCCAGCACCACAGUUAUCUCCUCAUUCUAUGACUGGGCACUCUACUUCCAUCAAGGUUUACUUUUCCUGUUGUCAGAAGAGAGUUCUGCCACCGUUCCUACCACCAAAACCGAGUCAUAUGGCUUACCGAGUACUUCAUGCAUGCUCACCUCACCUGAACUUGCUUUUACAAUGAAACCACUUUUUAUUGAACCCCCAACUUGCAAAUUUCCAUGCAGUUAAGAGUUCAACUGUCUGACAGUUUCUAAAACCCUCAUGAGGUCGUUCGUUUUGAACAAUAAAAAGGAUAAACAUAUGCAAUUUUUUUGUGCUUUGCUGCUUAUUGGUGGUUUCUUCUGGCAAUUAUAAUAAUGGGUAGCCCCUCGGGAGUGAAAGUAGAAACUACCCACAGCACUAGUGCCACCAUCACUGGCAGGAUUAGCUGCACCAAAGACAAAUAACAACAUUAGAUGUAACUCAGUCUUUUCCUGGUCAGUGAUGGGAGCUCAGUUACAAGCCAAAGUAGGUUCUGUCUAUUGGUUCAUAAAACUAUAAAAGGGAAUCUAAUGUUCUGCCAUUCAAUGUGUUAGAUGGGAAUACUUUCAGAACCAAUACAAACGGAAGGAACCUCAACAUGUGUAUCAUUGUCUAAAAGAAACUUUUUAAAGUUUUUUUGUACAUGAGAACUAAACUUCUCAUUGCCUACAGAUUAAAUUAUUUUGAUUGGCUGAAUUUCAAUGGAUACCUUAAAAUGUAAACCAGAAAAUAAUAUAAUUAUUAUGUGUUGAGAUAUAAGCGGGUUGCUUAGCCUGAAUCCAAAUUAGAAUUAGGAUACAUGAGUCACUACAGUUAAUAUAUAUAAACAAACAUAAACUAUGCAACUGAUCCAAUUAGAAAUAUUAGACACAUACACACUUAUAUAACUAACCCUGACAGUGGGAACAGACUCCACCCAGAAUAUUUCUUAGACAGAUUUUAGGAAAGGCCAAGGCAUCUUCUCCCAAAAUGCCUAAAGCCAAUCAGUAUUCAGUUUGUCUAUAUUUAAACCAUUCUUUGGGUAAUAGCACUCAACCAAUGUAGAGCUGCUAGAUAACUGUCCUAAAUUAUAAAGAAGUGUAUGUGAAUGAUCAAGUGUUCAGUAUCAUCAAUAGACAAACAUUUGUAGCUUUUAACUUUCAGCAAUGGAAGCAUUUUCUUCUCAGCAUUAAUACCAAACACCAUUUGAAUCAGAACUCUUUAAUUCUUGGGGCCCCAGAUGACAGUCUGAUGAACCCAUGUCCUAGGAGAGAGAAACAUUUCCUUUUUACAUGUAUAUCACUUAUAACUACCAGAGGUUAGGGAGAGAGGCGACAAGCCAUGGAUCCCCACCAGCUCUGACUCAGAUACCCAUGAGCCCUUUGGGAUACAUCCCAACAUUCUCAUGAGAUAGCCUUUAAACUUUGAGCUCAGAAAAAUUGCUUCAAUUCUGUUAAGUAAGGAUGACUUGAGAAUAUCAGCCAUUCUCCCCAUUUAGAAUCAUAGUGAGAAGAGAAUAGUGGACCAUCAUAAAUUCAAGCUUUGAAAAACUGACCUUUUGACUAGUUUGCAAAUCAAUAUUGACUUUGAUGUAGAAAAGGCCUCCAGUUCUUUGUUCUAUGAAUGAGAAGUGGCAUGGUUAGGAUUAGAGGGUGAGUGUUUGUCCUUGAUCUCUCUGCUAGAGAGUUAGGCAGAGGCCAGAAUGAUGUACAGGGACCCUAUAACUUGAGUUGUUCUUUGGUUAACAGCACCCUUCUUUAACUUCUGCUUGUUACCCGGGAUCUGAUUUUACAAUAUUAUUACAUAACUUACUCUUUGACAAACUGCCUACUGAUUAUAAAGGGGUUCUGACUUUAUGUCCAGCUAACAAUUUAGGUACUGGUAGAAUAUUAUUAAUUUUUUAUUUUAUUAUUCACUUAUUCUCUAAGUGUGCUAAUCUCUAACACUCCAUCAUUAUGUAAUCUGAUACAUGAUAUAGUACUUAGAGAAUAAGUGACUAAUAACAUUAAAGUAGUCCAUUAUAACUAAAUAUUACAAGAUUUGCAAAUAAUGCUCUGAUGGAAUAAAAUAGGCCUCAGAAAACAUGGUUUUCCCACACACUUUAGUUAUGUGAACUUGAAUAGUCCUAUUACCUCUCAGACUUCAUUUUCCUAGUAUUUUAAAUAAAGGAAUUGAAACAAAUGAUCACUAAUUUUUUCCCCAGCUCUAUGUUCUAUGGAUUUGUUGAACGAUGAUUAAAAACAUAACUACAUAAGUGCUUUAAUUGGAAGGAUAUGAUUUCAUUUUUCUUGGCUGUUUCAACUUUUAAUAAGUUUAACUUAGGUAGAGUGGUAACAUUUUCUGCAGAACUCUAAGAACACAUUAAGCCUUUGACCAAAACUUCUGUUUUUUGAUGGGUAGGCACAAAACAAUUAAGAAUUUUUAUAAAAUAAAUUUCAAUCUUAUUCACGUGUCAAAAAUCCAGCAAUAAGGUGAACACUUGCUUUUUAUAGAGGAGUGUGCAUAGGCUCUUGUUAGUUCCAGGAUGAUAACAAGGUGUUAGGAUUAUACAAUGUGGAGCUGCAGAUUGGGAUUUGGUGGACUGCCAGAAACUACAGGGCCAAAAGAACACAUCGAUUUAUGU